RNAcentral lists this ribosomal RNA (371 nucleotides) under uncultured bacterium. RNAcentral describes it as "bacterial SSU rRNA". It matches the Rfam family "Bacterial small subunit ribosomal RNA", at positions 527 to 896 of the family's 1533-position model. The record is from RNAcentral.
GGGGGGGGCAAGCGUUGUUCGGAAUUACUGGGCGUAAAGGGCUCGUAGGUGGCCAACUAAGUCAGACGUGAAAUCCCUCGGCUUAACCGGGGAACUGCGUCUGAUACUGGAUGGCUUGAGUUUGGGAGAGGGAUGCGGAAUUCCAGGUGUAGCGGUGAAAUGCGUAGAUAUCUGGAGGAACACCGGUGGCGAAGGCGGCAUCCUGGACCAAUACUGACACUGAGGAGCGAAAGCCAGGGGAGCAAACGGGAUUAGAUACCCCGGUAGUCCUGGCCCUAAACKAUGAAUGCUUGGUGUGGCGGGUAUCGAUCCCUGCCGUGCCGAAGCUAACGCAUUAAGCAUUCCGCCUGGGGAGUACGGUCGCAAGGCUG